GUUUCUGUAGCUCAGUAGGAUAGAGCACUCGCCUCCUAAGCGAGGGGCCGUGGGUUCGAAUCCCGCCAGGAACA
This 74-nucleotide transfer RNA is filed under the name Firmicutes bacterium HGW-Firmicutes-5. Its description in RNAcentral is "tRNA-Arg". It matches the Rfam family "tRNA". From Rfam's summary of the family: Transfer RNA (tRNA) molecules are approximately 80 nucleotides in length. Their secondary structure includes four short double-helical elements and three loops (D, anti-codon, and T loops). Lineage: Bacteria; Bacillati; Bacillota. The record is from RNAcentral. RNAcentral also lists the same sequence under 3 other names.